UUCGCGGUCUGGGCCCUCCCCGCGGGCGGGGUGGCGCGGGGACAGCAUGGAGGGCGCGGUGUCGGACGUGGCCGUGUGUAACCUGGCGUUCGCGGGGCGCCUCGAGGAGCUGCGGGCGCUGCUGCUCCGCGACAGGGCCCAGGCCACGCGGGCCGACCAGGAUCACCGCACCGCGCUGCACUGGGCCUGCUCGGCGGGACACACGGACGUCGCGGAGCUCCUCCUCGGGCUCGGCGUGCCUGUGAACGAUAAGGACGAUGCUGGUUGGACUCCCCUGCACAUUGCUGCUUCAGCAGGCCGUGAUGAAAUUGUGAAAGCCCUCAUUGCUAAGGGUGCUCAUGUAAAUGCUGUCAAUCAGAAUGGCUGCACGCCCCUGCAUUAUGCAGCCUCCAAAAAUAAGCAGGAGAUUGCAAUCAUGCUUUUGGAGAAUGGAGCAGAUCCAGAUGCAACAGAUCAUUUUGAAUCCACCCCGUUACACAGAGCAGCAGCCAAAGGAAACCUAAAAAUGGUACAGAUCCUUGUGCAGCACAAUGCAACUUUGGAUAUACGGGACUCUGAAGGGAAUACUCCUCUCUUUGCUGACUGCAGAGCCAAAUCCUAACCCAAAGAACUGUCUUAACAUUGCAAGGAGAGCAGCAGGAGGAAUGUUCUUGAGUUGCUUAAUGACAGCAGAGGGACUGGACAGCAAGCUUUGGAAUCUGUCUAGUCAUUUAGCCUGCGAUGAAGAGAGAGUGGAGGAGGCAAAGCUGCUGGUGUCUCAUGGUGCAAGUAUUCACAUUGAGAAUAAAGAAGAGCUGACCCCUCUGAAAGUGGCAAAGGGUGGCCUGGGAGCCAUCCUUAAAAGAAUGGUGGAAGGCUAGAGGGGGCUUCCCACUUGAGUCUCUCUCCUGUUGCACUUCUGCUUAGGAUUGCAAACUUCACAUUUUGAUAG
RNA transcript from Haemorhous mexicanus (house finch), 931 nucleotides. It is a transcript of the gene named proteasome 26S subunit, non-ATPase 10, with no coding region annotated. The record is from RefSeq and is a predicted model, not a curated record. The transcript has 6 exons. NCBI's taxonomy places the organism in Eukaryota, Metazoa, Chordata, Aves, Passeriformes, Fringillidae.